AAUUAAAUUCAUUAAUCUUUCUUCUCUCUUCCGGCCUCAAACCUCGAGUUGCUUCCCAGUUUCCUCUACCAGAUGUGCGCUGAAAAUCAAAGACCAUAAACACUCUUCUUCUUCACCUCCCUUGGGCCCCUCCUCGACACUGCGUUCAAAGUCACUGAAUCAGAGCAAAAUUUGUAAUUUUAAGAUCUUCAAUUAGGGAGAGCGUUAACACAAGGAUGUAUCUACAAAUGGGUCUUUAAGUUUGUGACUUAUUGGAUCUUAUAUGUUUGAUGCUUGAAGCUUUUUCAUUUUUGGCGUAAAGUGGGGGAUUAUGAAGCCAACGGAAAUGGAUUGUCGUGCAUUACAGAAGGAGCAAAUUAGAUUGUGGUCAGAGGAAAAAUGGAACCUGUUGUUGUUGCUGGCGACGAAGAGGGCAACAGAAGACACAACAAAAUGAGAGAGAAGAGUGUGUUCCUAAUUCUUCUUAUGGAUAAUUGGAUAAAUUAUAUUUAAUUAAGUAAUAAGAAUUGAUUAUAAAAUUUGUAAUAUUUGAAUCUGGUACGUUGAAUAUUAUAUAAUAUAUCUAAUGGUUCUAAA
Molecule: long non-coding RNA, 576 nt
Organism: Glycine soja
Lineage: Eukaryota; Viridiplantae; Streptophyta; Magnoliopsida; Fabales; Fabaceae
Exons: 2
Source: RefSeq, a predicted model, not a curated record